AUCUCAUGUCCAGGACAUUGCAAAAGCUUUUCAUUAAAUCUCUCCCAUGCUUCAUAUAGAGGCUCCCCAUUGAGUUGAUGAAAAUUAAUGAUUUUAUCCUACAACU
Small nucleolar RNA from Capsicum annuum, 106 nucleotides. The record is from RefSeq and is a predicted model, not a curated record. NCBI's taxonomy places the organism in Eukaryota, Viridiplantae, Streptophyta, Magnoliopsida, Solanales, Solanaceae.